GGGGGAUAACAUCUUGCAAACGGUAGCUAAUAGCGCAUAAUCUCUGCGAGGAGAAAGCAGGGGGUCCUUCGGACCCUGCGCCAUCAGAUGAGCCUAAGUCGGGAUUAGCUAGUUGGUGGGGGUAAAGGCCUCACAAAGUCACGAUCUGUAACGGGUUUGAAAAGGUGAUCCACCCACCCCGGGACUUAARCCCCGCUCCAAAUUCUUCGGGAAGCAACAAUGGGGAAUUAUUGCCCAAUGGGGGCAACCUGAACCAACCCAUCCCCCUUUGAGAAAAAGGCCUUUUGGUUGUUAAACUCUUUUAACGAGGAGGGGAGUUUUUUAGUUUAUUCCCCGCAAUAGUGGACGUUACUCGCAGAAUAAGCACCGGCUAACUCUGUGCCAGCAGCCGCGGUAAUACAGAGGGUGCGAGCGUUAAUCGGAAUUACUGGGCGUAAAGCGCGCGUAGGCGGUUUGUUAAGUCGGAUGUGAAAUCCCCGAGCUCAACCUGGGAAUUGCAUUCGAUACUGGCAAGCUAGAGUAUGGGAGAGGAUGGUAGAAUUCCAGGUGUAGCGGUGAAAUGCGUAGAGAUCUGGAGGAAUACCGAUGGCGAAGGCAGCCAUCUGGCCUAAUACUGACGCUGAGGUGCGAAAGCAUGGGGAGCAAACAGGAUUAGAUACCCUGGUAGUCCACGCCGUAAACGAUGUCUACUAGCCGUUGGGGCCCUUGAGGCGUUAGUGGCGCAGCUAACGCGAUAAGUAGACCGCCUGGGGAGUACGGUCGCAAGACUAAAACUCAAAUGAAUUGACGGGGGCCCGCACAAGCGGUGGAGCAUGUGGUUUAAUUCGAUGCAACGCGAAGAACCUUACCUGGUCUUGACAUACUAAGAACUUUCCAGAGAUGGAUUGGUGCCUUCGGGAAUUUAGAUACAGGUGCUGCAUGGCUGUCGUCAGCUCGUGUCGUGAAAUGUUGGGUUAAGUCCCGCAACGAGCGCAACCCUUUUCCUUAGUUGCCAGCGGUUAGGAUGGGAACUCUAAGGAUACUGCCAGUGACAAACUGGAGGAAGGCGGGGACGACGUCAAGUCAUCAUGGCCCUUACGACCAGGGCUACACACGUGCUACAAUGGUCCGUACAAAGGGAUGCUACCUAGCGAGAGCAAGCUAAUCUCAAAAAACCGAUCGUAGUCCGGAUUGGAGUCUGCAACUCGACUCCAUGAAGUCGGAAUCGCUAGUAAUCGCGGAUCAGAAUUCCGCGGGGAAUACGUUCCCGGGCCUUGUACACACCGCCCGUCCCCCCCAUGGGAGGUGGGUGCACCAG
This 1297-nucleotide ribosomal RNA is filed under the name Acinetobacter baumannii. RNAcentral's name for it is "bacterial SSU rRNA". It matches the Rfam family "Bacterial small subunit ribosomal RNA", at positions 138 to 1423 of the family's 1533-position model. The record is from RNAcentral. Lineage: Bacteria; Pseudomonadati; Pseudomonadota; Gammaproteobacteria; Moraxellales; Moraxellaceae.